GACGAACGCUGGCGGCGUGCUUAACACAUGCAAGUCGAACGGAAAGGCCCUGCUUUUGUGGGGUGCUCGAGUGGCGAACGGGUGAGUAACACGUGAGUAACCUGCCCUUGACUUUGGGAUAACUUCAGGAAACUGGGGCUAAUACCGGAUAGGAGCUCCUGCUGCAUGGUGGGGGUUGGAAAGUUUCGGCGGUUGGGGAUGGACUCGCGGCUUAUCAACUUGUUGGUGGGGUAGUGGCUUACCAAGGCUUUGACGGGUGGCCGGCCUGAGAGGGUGACCGGCCACAUUGGGACUGAGAUACGGCCCAGACUCCUACGGGAGGCAGCAGUGGGGAAUAUUGCACAAUGGGCGGAAGCCUGAUGCAGCAACGCCGCGUGCGGGAUGACGGCCUUCGGGUUGUAAACCGCUUUCGCCUGUGACGAAGCGUGAGUGACGGUAAUGGGUAAAGAAGCACCGGCUAACUACGUG
Molecule: ribosomal RNA, 468 nt
Filed under: uncultured bacterium
Lineage: Bacteria
Description: partial 16S ribosomal RNA
Rfam family: Bacterial small subunit ribosomal RNA
Source: RNAcentral